This 253-nucleotide ribosomal RNA is filed under the name uncultured bacterium. RNAcentral's name for it is "partial 16S ribosomal RNA". It matches the Rfam family "Bacterial small subunit ribosomal RNA", at positions 524 to 776 of the family's 1533-position model. The record is from RNAcentral.
UACGAAGGGGGCUAGCGUUGCUCGGAAUCACUGGGCGUAAAGCGCACGUAGGCGGAUUGUUAAGUCGGGGGUGAAAUCCUGGAGCUCAACUCCAGAACUGCCUUCGAUACUGGCGAUCUUGAGUCCGGGAGAGGUGAGUGGAACUCCGAGUGUAGAGGUGAAAUUCGUAGAUAUUCGCAAGAACACCAGUGGCGAAGGCGGCUCACUGGCCCGAUACUGACGCUGAGGCACGAAAGCGUGGGGAGCAAACAGG